UGAUGCUAAAAUGAACAUUUAUAAUGACUGCUGUUGCUGUCGCAAAAUAAGAAUCCUUAAAAAAAGACCUCAUAUAUAUUAGCACUAGAUUGCCCACUUCACUGGUAAUCCACAAGUCAAGAAACACAACUCACUAGGUUUUUUUCUCUUUACAAACACAAUGCUACAAUUACAUUAAAUAUUCAGUAAUCUUUAAGUCAGUUAAUGAAUGUUGUUAAAAGCAACCACUAAAUACUAAAAAUAAAAACAAAACAAUUAUAAUAUUAAUUCACCUUUUUCCAGUCGUUCCCUUUUUCUCGUUGUGUUGUUAUUUAUUAAUAGUAUAAUAAUAGUCUGAGAAAUAAAUAGCUCAUGUGGUGUUCUCAAGGCAAUGGGGCAGGCAGCAUAAAUCAAGAGUGGAGCUCAGAGCAAUGCAAUGAAAUGGUGGAGUCUAAUCUCACACAGUCACUUUAAUAGUUUCAACAUGUCUUUGAUGUGGAGGCGAAAUAUGGAGAUAUGAUACAAGUUUGGUUCUGCAGGCAGCGGAGUGGUUGAGCGGCACCUGCAGAGGUUAAUCAUCUCUAAACUAUCCUUCUAUGUUAUGUAAACUAGGACUGUAUUGCACAAAAGUUAGCAGCUCAUCUUCCUCAUUUUGUAGCCCGGGAGAAGCUUAAUUUCUUCUUCUUUUGUUUUUCAAUUUUCCGCCUCCGCCUCCCUGUUUUUGUUUUUCUUUCUCCGACUUGGAGGAGCUGAGUCGAGCCGUCUUCCACGAUGAUAUGUCUCUAACAUGACCAAGCGUUUUCAAUCACUAUGGCUUGAUGAUUAAAAAGAUACUAGUGCCACUACAACUCACUGUUAAGAAACAUCAACAAAUGUACAAAAGCAAGCCUACGUUGAGAAUGGCUCGGACUAUUUCUCAAGAUUAGUAUUAUUAUUUGAUGAGCACACUUAUCUAAAAAGUUGGCUAGCCGACAUGAACGCUAAACAGCGAAUACAGUAGGUAAAUCAACACUAAUAACAACAGCACAGGUUAACACAGUAGAACUAGCAUAGCCGAUUAUACAGGCAGACCUAAGUAUCGGAUACAGAGGAUGAAAAGUGUUACGAUCGUCUACCGCGUCCACUAGUUUCUCUUUAUGCUGCCCGCCCCUUUCUGCUCAACACUUCUCUCUUUACACCUCGGCAAAAAAUCUGACAAAAAUAUUUACAAUGAGAGAGAAAAAAAAUGAAAUUGUGGAGAAACAAUUGUUUAGUGUUUUAUCCUUUUUUUGUUUGUCUGCAUUUUUUAAAAUAUUUUUUUCUUCCUUUCAUAUGUUUUUUUUUGUUCUUUUUUGACUUAUAGCUCCGAGAACUGUCCCCAAUGGUGAGCAACAAACAAACAAACAAAAAAAUCCAAUCAUAUCAGCUAGCAUUGCACAGUCUCAGAGAGGUUUUGGGGAUGGAAUGGAGAGUUAUCGUCCAAACAGUUGGAUGAACACAGAAGGGGGGUAGGAGGAGGAGGAAGAAGGUCAAUAAAGUUCAUGAGGGGGUGAAAGUUCAAAAAGUUCAAGAAGACA
Molecule: long non-coding RNA, 1535 nt
Organism: Astatotilapia calliptera (eastern happy)
Lineage: Eukaryota; Metazoa; Chordata; Actinopteri; Cichliformes; Cichlidae
Source: Ensembl